Molecule: ribosomal RNA, 413 nt
Filed under: uncultured bacterium
Lineage: Bacteria
Description: bacterial SSU rRNA
Rfam family: Bacterial small subunit ribosomal RNA
Source: RNAcentral
AGCGAACGCUGGCGGCAGGCCUAACACAUGCAAGUCGAACGGAUCCUUCGGGAUUAGUGGCGGACGGGUGAGUAACACGUGGGAACGUGCCUUUUGGUUCGGAACAACUCAGGGAAACUUGAGCUAAUACCGGAUAAGCCCUUCGGGGAAGGAUUAUCGCCAUUAGAGCGGCCCGCGUCUGAUUAGCUAGUUGGUGAGGUAAAGGCUCACCAAGGCUACGAUCAGUAGCUGGUCUGAGAGGAUGAUCAGCCACAUUGGGACUGAGACACGGCCCAAACUCCUACGGGAGGCAGCAGUGGGGAAUCUUGCGCAAUGGGCGAAAGCCUGACGCAGCCAUGCCGCGUGAAUGAUGAAGGUCUUAGGAUUGUAAAAUUCUUUCAGCAGGACGAUAAUGACGGUACCUGCAGAAGAAG